AAAGCGUCGGUAAGGUGAUAUGAACCGUUACAGCCGGCGAUGUCCGAAUGGGGAAACCCAGUGCAAUUCGUUGCACUAUCGUUAACUGAAUACAUAGGUUAACGAGGCGAACCGGGGGAACUGAAACAUCUAAGUACCCCGAGGAAAAGAAAUCAACCGAGAUUCCCCCAGUAGCGGCGAGCGAACGGGGAGCAGCCCGGAGUCUGAAUCAGCUUGUGUGUUAGUGGAAGCGUCUGGAAAGUCGCAGGGUACAGGGUGAUACUCCCGUACACUAAAACGCACAGGUUGUGAACUCGAAGAGUAGGGCGGGACACGUGGUAUCCUGUCUGAAUAUGGGGGGACCAUCCUCCAAGGCUAAAUACUCCUGACUGACCGAUAGUGAACCAGUACCGUGAGGGAAAGGCGAAAAGAACCCCGGCGAGGGGAGUGAAAAAGAACCUGAAACCGUGUACGUACAAGCAGUAGGAGCCC
Molecule: ribosomal RNA, 471 nt
Filed under: Klebsiella michiganensis
Lineage: Bacteria; Pseudomonadati; Pseudomonadota; Gammaproteobacteria; Enterobacterales; Enterobacteriaceae
Description: bacterial LSU rRNA
Rfam family: Bacterial large subunit ribosomal RNA
Source: RNAcentral